This 45-nucleotide non-coding RNA is filed under the name Trichobilharzia regenti. Lineage: Eukaryota; Metazoa; Platyhelminthes; Trematoda; Strigeidida; Schistosomatidae. The record is from RNAcentral.
AUCCAGAUGACGAGUCCCAAAUAGGAUGAAAUGUGCAUCCUAGAU